RNAcentral lists this transfer RNA (73 nucleotides) under Flavobacteriaceae bacterium. Its description in RNAcentral is "tRNA-Gly". It matches the Rfam family "tRNA". From Rfam's summary of the family: Transfer RNA (tRNA) molecules are approximately 80 nucleotides in length. Lineage: Bacteria; Pseudomonadati; Bacteroidota; Flavobacteriia; Flavobacteriales; Flavobacteriaceae. The record is from RNAcentral.
GCGAAAGUAGCUCAGCUGGUAGAGCAUCACCUUGCCAAGGUGGAGGUCGCGGGUUCAAAUCCCGUCUUUCGCU